Molecule: ribosomal RNA, 485 nt
Filed under: uncultured bacterium
Lineage: Bacteria
Description: bacterial SSU rRNA
Rfam family: Bacterial small subunit ribosomal RNA
Source: RNAcentral
GACGAACGCUGGCGGCGUGCCUAACACAUGCAAGUCUACGAGAAAGGGGUAGCAAUAUCCUUAGUAAAGUGGCGCAAGGGUGAGUAAUAUGUAAGUAAUCUACCCAUGGGUUCGGAAUAACUCGUCGAAAGACGGGAUAAUACCGUAUAAUGCAGCGGCAUCACAUGAUGAUGUUGUUAAAGUUCUUGAAACGCCUAUGGAUGAGCUUGCAUCCGAUUAGCUAGUUGGCAGGGUAAUUGCCUACCAAGGCUACAAUCGGUAGCUGGUCUGAGAGGAUGAUCAGCCACACUGGAACUGAGACACGGUCCAGACUCCUACGGGAGGCAGCAGUGAGGAAUAUUGGGCAAUGGACGAAAGUCUGACCCAGCAACGCCGCGUGGAGGAUGAAUGCCGUAAGGUUGUAAACUCCUUUUGAAGGGGACGAAAAAUUUCGAUAACAUCGGAACUUGACUGUACCCUUAGAAGAAGCCCCGGCUAACUACGUG